RNAcentral lists this non-coding RNA (24 nucleotides) under Arabidopsis thaliana (thale cress). Lineage: Eukaryota; Viridiplantae; Streptophyta; Magnoliopsida; Brassicales; Brassicaceae. The record is from RNAcentral.
AGAGGUGAAAUGUUGAGAUUGCAA